CCACACCUGAAACACCUUCUAUCGCGCUGCGAGCAAACCGGCGGUCAAUGAUCACCGCCGCAGAUAAUACACCGAGUCAGUCUCCAAUUCUUCGACUGCCGCCGUGGAUAAGGAAGAGGCCGCUUAGGAAUCGACCGAUCCCCGGUACCACUUGCAGUCCGUUUCUUUACUUUGUCCUUUUCCUUCUUCAUAGAUUCGCUCUCCCCACGUGCGUAAGCACACUCCUCCCAGAACGCCUGAUCCAAAACCUUCGCAAA
RNAcentral lists this long non-coding RNA (257 nucleotides) under Ananas comosus (pineapple). RNAcentral's name for it is "long non-coding RNA (ACOM_LNC043176)". Lineage: Eukaryota; Viridiplantae; Streptophyta; Magnoliopsida; Poales; Bromeliaceae. The record is from RNAcentral.